Molecule: signal recognition particle RNA, 99 nt
Filed under: Albidovulum sp.
Lineage: Bacteria; Pseudomonadati; Pseudomonadota; Alphaproteobacteria; Rhodobacterales; Paracoccaceae
Description: signal recognition particle sRNA small type
Rfam family: Bacterial small signal recognition particle RNA
About the family: The signal recognition particle (SRP) is a universally conserved ribonucleoprotein involved in the co-translational targeting of proteins to membranes. Archaeal SRP consists of a 7S RNA and homologues of the eukaryotic SRP19 and SRP54 proteins.
Source: RNAcentral
GGAGAGGCUGUCGCGGGCAGGCGAUUCGCCAACCCGGUCAGGUCCGAAAGGAAGCAGCCGCAACGAAAUUCGCGUGUGUCGCUCAGCAGCCUCUCGUUC